AGUGAACGCUGGCGGUAGGCCUAACACAUGCAAGUCGAACGGCAGCACAGUAAGAGCUUGCUCUUACGGGUGGCGAGUGGCGGACGGGUGAGGAAUACAUCGGAAUCUACUUUUUCGUGGGGGAUAACGUAGGGAAACUUACGCUAAUACCGCAUACGACCUACGGGUGAAAGCAGGGGAUCUUCGGACCUUGCGCGAUUGAAUGAGCCGAUGUCGGAUUAGCUAGUUGGCGGGGUAAGGGCCCACCAAGGCGACGAUCCGUAGCUGGUCUGAGAGGAUGAUCAGCCACACUGGAACUGAGACACGGUCCAGACUCCUACGAGAGGCAGCAGUGGGGAAUAUUGGACAAUGGGCGCAAGCCUGAUCCAGCCAUACCGCGUGGGUGAAGAAGGCCUUCGGGUUGUAAAGCCCUUUUGUUGGGAAAGAAAAGCAGCAGGUUAAUACCCCGCUGUUCUGACGGGACCCAAAGAAUAAGCACCGGCUAACUGCGU
This 491-nucleotide ribosomal RNA is filed under the name uncultured bacterium. RNAcentral describes it as "partial 16S ribosomal RNA". It matches the Rfam family "Bacterial small subunit ribosomal RNA", at positions 29 to 506 of the family's 1533-position model. The record is from RNAcentral.